UGGGGAAUUUUGGGCAAUGGCCGAAAGGCUGACCCAGCGACGCCGCGUGCGGGAGGAAGCCCUUCGGGGUGUAAACCGCUGUCAGGGGGGACGAAAGCGUGCGGGGCUAAUACCCUCGUGCAGUGACGGUACCCUCAAAGGAAGCACCGGCUAACUCUGUGCCAGCAGCCGCGGUAAGACAGAGGGUGCGAGCGUUGUUCGGAAUUACUGGGCGUAAAGCGCGCGCAGGCGGAUCCUGCAAGUCGGAAGUGAAAUGUGGCUGCUCAACGGCCACGCUGCUUCUGAUACUGCGGAUCUGGGGACCGGUAGAGGCUGGUGGAAUUGCAGGUGUAGCGGUGGAAUGCGUAGAGAUCUGCAAGAACACCCGUGGCGAAGGCGGCCAGCUGGGCCGGAUCCGACGCUGAGGCGCGAAAGCGUGGGGAGCAAACAGG
RNAcentral lists this ribosomal RNA (431 nucleotides) under bacterium. RNAcentral's name for it is "partial 16S ribosomal RNA". It matches the Rfam family "Bacterial small subunit ribosomal RNA", at positions 355 to 776 of the family's 1533-position model. The record is from RNAcentral.